This 253-nucleotide ribosomal RNA is filed under the name uncultured bacterium. RNAcentral's name for it is "partial 16S ribosomal RNA". It matches the Rfam family "Bacterial small subunit ribosomal RNA", at positions 524 to 776 of the family's 1533-position model. The record is from RNAcentral.
UACGUAGGGGGCGAGCGUUGUCCGGAAUCAUUGGGCGUAAAGAGCGUGUAGGCGGCCCGAUAAGUCCGCUGUGAAAGUCCAGGGCUCAACCCUGGAAUGCCGGUGGAUACUGUCGGGCUCGAAUCCGGAAGAGGUGAGUGGAAUUCCUGGUGUAGCGGUGAAAUGCGUAGAUAUCUGGAGGAACACCGGUGGCGAAGGCGGCAUCCUGGACCGGCAUUGACGCUGAGGCGCGAAAGCCAGGGGAGCAAACGGG